Molecule: transfer RNA, 75 nt
Filed under: Thomasclavelia ramosa
Lineage: Bacteria; Bacillati; Bacillota; Erysipelotrichia; Erysipelotrichales; Coprobacillaceae
Also listed under: 2 other names
Description: Erysipelatoclostridium ramosum tRNA-Arg
Rfam family: tRNA
About the family: Transfer RNA (tRNA) molecules are approximately 80 nucleotides in length. Their secondary structure includes four short double-helical elements and three loops (D, anti-codon, and T loops).
Source: RNAcentral
CCCCAUAUAGUUUAAAGGAUAAAACAUUUCGCUACGAACGAAAAAUUAGAGGUUCGAUUCCUCUUAUGGGGUCCA